AUAGAUUUAAGUUAAGUUUAAACUAUUAAUUUUCAAAAUUAAAAAUUUGUAAUCUAUAU
Molecule: transfer RNA, 59 nt
Filed under: Rugopharynx australis
Lineage: Eukaryota; Metazoa; Nematoda; Chromadorea; Rhabditida; Strongylidae
Description: tRNA-Trp
Source: RNAcentral